CGAGCACGCGCGUGUGGCAUAUCAAUAAGCGGAGGAAAAGAAACUAACUAGGAUUCCCUCAGUAACGGCGAGUGAAGCGGGAAGAGCUCAAAUUUGAAAUCUUCAAGGUUCUACCUUGACGAAUUGUAGUUUAAAGAAGUGUUUUCUGUUAGAGAGGUGGUAAAAGUUCUUUGGAAUAGGACAUCAUAGAGGGUGAGAAUCCCGUAUUUGAUCACUUUCUACUAACGUUGUGAUACACUUUCAAAGAGUCGGAUUGUUUGGGAAUGCAGUCCAAAAUGGGUGGUAAAUUUCAUCUAAAGCUAAAUAUUGGCGAGAGACCGAUAGCGAACAAGUACCGUGAGGGAAAGAUGAAAAGAACUUUGAAAAGAGAGUUAAACAGUACGUGAAGUUGUCAAAAGGGAAGCGUUUGACACCAGUGUUGUUUUUCUGAAAAUCAAUUAAAGAACUGUUUAUGCUAAGUUGUUUAGACUUUAUCAGCUAACUGUUUAGUUUUGAGCUUUUCUUUAAUGCACUUUUCAGUUAACAAGUCAACAUCAAUUUCUUUUGCUGUAAAAGGGUAUGAGGAAGGUGGCUUUCUUUUCGGAGAAAGUGUUUAUAGCCUUGUGCCUCUGCAAUCGGAGAGAUUGAGGUCUGCAGCGUAGAUCCUUCGGGGUUAGAUACACUUGUGCUAAGCUAUAGCCUUGUAUAGACAACUUGUUGACUAUGCUCAGUCAUGUAGCUUACUCGCUUAUGCUAUUUUACCUACGCUUAGGAUGUUGAGCGCAUGUCUCUCUCU
This 775-nucleotide ribosomal RNA is filed under the name uncultured Neocallimastigales. RNAcentral describes it as "partial large subunit ribosomal RNA". It matches the Rfam family "Eukaryotic large subunit ribosomal RNA", at positions 19 to 616 of the family's 3401-position model. The record is from RNAcentral. Lineage: Eukaryota; Fungi; Neocallimastigomycota; Neocallimastigomycetes; Neocallimastigales.